CUGACCUUGUGAUCCACCCACCUCAGCCUCCCAAAGUGCUGGGAUUGCAGGUGCGAGCCACCGGGUCCAGCCUCUCAGGCGAUUUUCAUACCUGCAUACUCUGAUCACUACUCUGUUAAACAGUCAAGGAGGCUGAGUGCCACGUGCUGACAUCACUAAGAUCAAUACAGCAAACUCUGAAAGAUGGACAGAGAGACAGGAGAUGGUCCUUUAUAAUGCAGUGUGAUCUGUGCUGCAAUAGAGUUUUGGAAGCUAGAAGUUCAAAAUGAGGUGUUGGCAGCACCAUGCUCUCUCUGAAGAUGCUAGGAAGAAUCUGCUCCAUGCCUUUCCAUUCGCUUCUGGGGUUUCCUGCAAGCCCUGACAUUCCUUGGCUUGUAGAUGCAUCACCCCAGUUUCCGCCCCCAUCAUCACAUGGCCUCCUCUCUGUGUGUGCCUCUGCAUUCCCUCUAUUCUUCUUCUAAGGACACCGACACCAGUCAUAGUGGAUUAAGGGUCCACUCCUAACUAAUUACAUCUGCAACAACCCUAUUUCCAAAUAAAGUCACAUUCUAAGAUUCCUAGGGAGAACAUGAAUUUUUGGGGGUGUGUGGAUACUGUUCAACCUGGGACAUGGAGUAAAUAAAUGGCAAGGAAAAUUACAGAUGACUUUAAGCUAAAGAGGGAGAUAGGGUUAAAUGUAGGACUUUUUUUUUUUCCAGGACGGGAGAGGUUUAAACAUGUUACUACAUUGAAUAAAUGAAAUAA
Molecule: long non-coding RNA, 744 nt
Filed under: Pan troglodytes (chimpanzee)
Lineage: Eukaryota; Metazoa; Chordata; Mammalia; Primates; Hominidae
Description: lincRNA
Source: RNAcentral